Molecule: ribosomal RNA, 322 nt
Filed under: uncultured eukaryote
Lineage: Eukaryota
Description: partial 18S ribosomal RNA
Rfam family: Eukaryotic small subunit ribosomal RNA
Source: RNAcentral
CCCUUAGAUGUUCUGGGCCGCACGCGUGCUACACUGAGUGGAUCAGCGGGUCAGGUUGCGCGAAAGCGUUUCCUAAUCUUGAAAUCCGCUCGUGAUGGGGAUUGACGGUUGCAAUUUUCUGUCAUGAACGAGGAAUACCUUGUAAGCGCGGGUCAUCAUCCCGCGCUGAAUACGUCCCUGCCCUUUGUACACACCGCCCGUCGCUCCUACCGAUUGAGUGGUCCGGUGAGGCUUUGGGAUCUGGAUGGAAAGAGCGUUUCGCUGUUUCUGCCCGGAAAACUCAGUCGAACCUUAUCAUUUAGAGGAAGGAGAAGUCGUAACA